Molecule: ribosomal RNA, 497 nt
Filed under: uncultured bacterium
Lineage: Bacteria
Description: partial 16S ribosomal RNA
Rfam family: Bacterial small subunit ribosomal RNA
Source: RNAcentral
GAUGAACGCUGGCGGCGUGCCUAAUACAUGCAAGUCGAGCGAACAGACGCGGAGCUUGCUCCUCUGACGUUAGCGGCGGACGUGUGAGUAACACGUGCAUCACCUACCUAUAAGACUGGGAUAACUUCGUGAAACCGGAACUAAUACCGGGUACUAUAUUGAACCGCAUGGUUCAAUAGUUACGGACGGUUUUGCUGUCCCUUCUAGCUGUAUCCGCGCCGCAUUAGCUAGUUGGUACGGUAACGGCUUACGAAGGCAACGAUGCGUGGCCGACCUGACAGGGUGAAGGCGGACACUGGAACUGAGACACGGUCCAGAGUCUUACGGGAGGCAGAGGUAGGGACGCGUGCGCAAUGGGCGGAAGCCUGCCGGAGCAACGCCAGGUGGGUGAUGAAGGGCUUCGGAUCGUAAGACUCUGUUCUGAGGGAAAAACGAUUGUGGAAGUAACGAUGCACGUCGUGACGGUACCUAAAGAGGAAGCAACGGCUAACUACGUG